UAUGGUACGAUGAGAUAAUAGAUUGUGAUAUCGAAUAUUGAUUCGGAGUCCAGGAUGGGAUCCAGGACAUCACGAGGAGCUUCGGAAUGGUCCGGAGAUAAAGAAUUAUAUAUGGGAAAGUUGUUUCGGAAAAGUUCAGGAUAUUUUCCGGCAUUGACCGAGAAUAUUCUAGAAGGUUCCGGAAGUUCUCGGAAGGUUCUGAAAUGUUCCGAAUUAUUCCUGAGAAUUUAAUUGGGC
This 237-nucleotide long non-coding RNA is filed under the name Brachypodium distachyon (stiff brome). Its description in RNAcentral is "long non-coding RNA (BDIS_LNC000582)". Lineage: Eukaryota; Viridiplantae; Streptophyta; Magnoliopsida; Poales; Poaceae. The record is from RNAcentral.